CUCAAAGCUUGGAGCAAAACAGUUGGCGGCAGCGCAGCGCGAGGACAGUCCAGUCGCCAUCUCGCAGAGCAGACCGCCUGAGAGAGUUCCAAGCGCCUAAAGUUUCAAGAAGACCUUCGAAAUGGAUCAAGCCCGCAAGUUCGAGAACCAGGACACCCGCUAUCAGAGCCUGGGAACUGAUGCUUCCUUGGAAGGAGCUAAAGGAAUGCCCGGAGCCAAGAAUGAUGCGGGAAUCAAAGGCCACGGUGACCAGAACCAGCCAGCCCUGCAAGCUGCAGGCAGGAUCCAGCAUUUGCCGGGUGAUUCUGAUAUCAGCAUGAUCUGCAAUGCCUUCAGCGGGCUGCAGCUUCAAGAGCUGGAUCGAGUCUUCCAACGCACUCAGUUCCCCAACGUGUUUAUGAGAAAGGAACCUGGAGUACCAGCAACUGCUGAAUCCCAAGCUCAGUCCGUUGAGCGCAGUGGACCAGAAGAAAUGUCCAAGAAGCCAUUCUAAAACAUGCAAGAAGACAUUUCACUUUUCCCCUUGUUAUUUGGCUACUGGCCCAAUGUUUGUGAAAUUUAAUAAAAUUUUUGAGGAAUUGGAAAUCUAA
Molecule: RNA transcript, 590 nt
Organism: Rattus norvegicus (Norway rat)
Lineage: Eukaryota; Metazoa; Chordata; Mammalia; Rodentia; Muridae
Gene: Rhoxl
Gene name: reproductive homeobox like
Exons: 3
Source: RefSeq, marked validated